CAGUCGCCACGGGAAUACGUAGGUGGCAAGCGUUGUCCGGAAUUAUUGGGCGUAAAGGGCUCGCAGGCGGUUUCUUAAGUCUGAUGUGAAAGCCCCCGGCUCAACCUGGGAAUGGCAAUGGAUACUGGCAAGCUAGAGUGUGUCAGAGGAUGGUGGAAUUCCCGGUGUAGCGGUGAAAUGCGUAGAUAUCGGAAGGAACACCUGUGGCGAAAGCGGCUCACUGGACCAUUUCUGACGCUGAUGCACGAAAGCUAGGGGAGCAAACAGGAUUAGAUACCCCUGUAGUCCCUGUCUCUUAUAC
RNAcentral lists this ribosomal RNA (301 nucleotides) under uncultured bacterium. Its description in RNAcentral is "partial 16S ribosomal RNA". It matches the Rfam family "Bacterial small subunit ribosomal RNA", at positions 509 to 807 of the family's 1533-position model. The record is from RNAcentral.